Cygnus atratus (black swan) is the source of this 1221-nucleotide long non-coding RNA. RefSeq lists it as uncharacterized. The transcript is spliced from 3 exons. NCBI's taxonomy places the organism in Eukaryota, Metazoa, Chordata, Aves, Anseriformes, Anatidae. The record is from RefSeq and is a predicted model, not a curated record.
CGCCUCAUGGCGUCACUUCCGCUCCCCGCGCCGCCAUCUUAGCGUCGGGCAGGCGCCGCCAUGACGCGGAGGGACCCGCGGCCGCUGUGCCGCCUGGUGCUGGCCGCCGUGGUGCUGCUGUCGUGGGGCUACGUGCUGUACGGGGCGCGGGAGGCAGCGAGGAGGCUGCUGCAGGGCGGGACCGCGGUGCCCUGAGGGGAGGAGGAAGAGGAGGAGAGAGGCCGAAGGACGCCGCCCGAGGAGCUCUGAGGGGAGGAUAAAGCGCAAGGGAGCCUUGUGCCUUCAGGGUAGCUGAGCUGCUGUGACCACCCUGAACCGCUUUACUCGUAAGCGGCCACCAGAUGGAGAAGCGCACCGCAGCACCGCUCCCCAGCCCCAGCAGCGCUUCCCUGCCUGCCCCGCGGGUCUCCAGCAGCGUCCGGAGGCCCUCGGCUGCUCCCUAGAGUGCGAAGCAGAGCCCACAGCUCUGUGGAGCUCCAAGUAACCAGAGAAAUCCCAGAAACUUGAGGUUUAGAAUCAGCUCAGUUUCUCACGCUGGAGAAAAUCUUCACUCUGGCUCUUGUGCCCGACAGCUGUGCGUUGUUCUGACGCCGAGGCCAUAGGGAUCAGUGUCCAGGAUUAAGAUCCUGAGACCUGGAUUGAAAGUAAGUUAAGAAAUUACUCAGCAGAUACCUAGUCUCAGGAGAAAAGAGAAUACGAGCUCAGUAUAUCAGCAGUAACAGUGUUAAAAAUUCAGUUCCUGUGCAGUUUUGAUGCUACUUGUCUCAUUUCUUUACAUGCUGACCUCUCCCCUCUAAAGAAGCUCCCUCUGAAGCUGCCCACUUUCAGUGCUACCACCUAUGUUGUCUGUUCCACGUCCCCUUCCCUUUCAAACUCUGCUUGGCUUGCUCUCCUGUCCUUGCCUGUGGAAAUCAAGGAGCAGCACGUGCAAAACCCCUCAGCUUGCACUGGGGGUGUCGCAGAAGGGGCCAGGACUCUCCUCACCCACAAAAAUGCAGUGAAGAUCAGAAAAUGUUUCCUGUCCAAAAUGGUAUAGCAAAUAAAAACCCUGCUUCAAGCUUUAAGCAGCAUUAACCAUUCAGAUGCAAUCGCCAGGGAUGGCUGUUUUGCUAAUGCGUAUCAUCCCUAAAGGAACAUAUUCAUAAUGCCAAUGAAAUCCCCUUCAGAUCUUAUUAUGAUUGUGUUAAAUAAAGCUUAGCCUGUUUAUGACAGCAAAGCUUG